Molecule: transfer RNA, 84 nt
Filed under: Candidatus Bathyarchaeota archaeon
Lineage: Archaea; Thermoproteati; Candidatus Bathyarchaeota
Description: tRNA-Leu
Rfam family: tRNA
About the family: Transfer RNA (tRNA) molecules are approximately 80 nucleotides in length.
Source: RNAcentral
GCUGGGGUGGUGGAGCAGGUCGAACACGGAGGGCUUAAGUCCCACAGGGGAUCAUCGGAGGUUCAAAUCCUCCCCCCAGCACCA